UGGUAUAGUUCUGUUCUAAUGCUCUUGGCUAAAAACUGAACAAUUAGCCAUCAGGUCCCAUAUGUCCAAGAAGCAACAUGCCCAAGGCAGGAUAAGGAAGGAAGGAAGGAAGCAGUAUCUCUAAGAACCACAGUUCACAGUGUC
RNAcentral lists this long non-coding RNA (144 nucleotides) under Ictidomys tridecemlineatus (thirteen-lined ground squirrel). Its description in RNAcentral is "lncRNA (ENSSTOG00000034850.1)". Lineage: Eukaryota; Metazoa; Chordata; Mammalia; Rodentia; Sciuridae. The record is from RNAcentral.